Molecule: ribosomal RNA, 433 nt
Filed under: uncultured bacterium
Lineage: Bacteria
Description: partial 16S ribosomal RNA
Rfam family: Bacterial small subunit ribosomal RNA
Source: RNAcentral
AACGAACGCUGGCGGCAUGCCUAACACAUGCAAGUCGAACGAGACCUUCGGGUCUAGUGGCGCACGGGUGCGUAACGCGUGGGAACCUGCCCUUAGGUUCGGAAUAACUCCCCGAAAGGGGUGCUAAUACCGGAUAAUGUCUUCGGACCAAAGAUUUAUCGCCUUUGGAUGGGCCCGCGUUGGAUUAGCUAGUUGGUAGGGUAAAAGCCUACCAAGGCGACGAUCCAUAGCUGGUUUGAGAGGAUGAUCAGCCACACUGGGACUGAGACGCGGCCCAGACUCCUACGGGAGGCAGCAGUGGGGAAUAUUGGACAACGGGCGAAAGCCUGAUCCAGCAAUGCCGCGUGAGUGAUGAAGUCGUUAGGGUUGUAAAGCUCUUUUACCCGGGAUGAUAAUGACAGUACCGGGAGAAUAAGCUCCGGCUAACUCCGUG